This 23-nucleotide non-coding RNA is filed under the name Arabidopsis thaliana (thale cress). The record is from RNAcentral. Lineage: Eukaryota; Viridiplantae; Streptophyta; Magnoliopsida; Brassicales; Brassicaceae.
CAGUAUCUUGUCGGAAACAUGUU